RNAcentral lists this long non-coding RNA (17079 nucleotides) under Cucumis sativus (cucumber). RNAcentral's name for it is "long non-coding RNA (CSAT_LNC002925)". The record is from RNAcentral. Lineage: Eukaryota; Viridiplantae; Streptophyta; Magnoliopsida; Cucurbitales; Cucurbitaceae.
ACAAAUUGACAAAAAUCCAAAGAAAUCCCCAAAAUCACAAAGGGAAAUUUAAUAUAUAAAUAAGGGAAGAAGCUCUCAAGCCUUUCUCACACACACACACACUUUCCAAAUUCCAAAUGGCUGAGUCGUCUUACGAAUUAGAGGCGGAAGAUGAGGCCAAAUCCCUCCUCCGCUCCGGCUACCGUCGUCCCUCACGGCGCUGGAUCCUUCUACGGCGGAAGAAGCUUCCGACUGCCCGUCUCGGCGGAAGAAGGCCGCCAAGAACGGCGGCGAUUUGGAGGUCAAUUAAAGAAAUUAAAAUGAGAAAGUGGGCGAUGACGAUGACGAAUAAGGUCCGAUGCAAAGACAUUGCCAGCUUCAAUGCUUUUCUUAGAAAGAUUCUAUUGGAGAUUUCUUUAGCUAUUCCUCUUCUUGGCGUUUCCCUCUCUAUUUAACUAUAUACCUCUUUUUUAUGUAGUACUCACCAUCUCCAUCCAUCCUUCCACUGAACUUGAAAGUACUGUUUGAAUCUCUCUUUUUUUCUUAUAUAGCUUUUCAGUACAAACAUAUUAGUUUAAAUUUGCUUAUAGACUUUCUUCAAAAUCAUUUCAACACUCUUACCAUUUGCUAUCACUAUAUCUCAACAAUUUCUGAUCACUGCUCGACCUCUUAGCUAGAUUAUAUUCCAACCCAUAUGCGAUUCUGACAAACCAUUGCUAAAAAUAUAAACAAAAGGUUCAGAAACUUUCAAAAGGGUUUAUUAAUUUUAAACUAAACUUUUCCAUUUUUGGCUAAACUUUUAACAAAGUAUUGUUUUGGUCACUUUGUGUUAAUACAAAUAUGAUCUCAAGUUAGAUAAGUUAGAGAUGAACGUUGAGCCAAGCAGAUUUGAACAUGUAUAUAUUGAUCAUGUAUGUAUGUAUUAGUGUAUUGUAGAAAAGGUGGUAAAUAAUAUGAUGGAUUUCAGACAAUCAUUUUUGUUCAUUUUCUUGGUUUCCAUUACAUGUAUUCAUAUUUUAUUGUUCAUCAAAUUUCUUUUAGAUGUGAAAAGACGACAAUAUUACAAAUGGUAGAAAUUUAAUUUAAUCACCAUCUAUUCCGCAUCAUAUUUGAAAAAGUCUAUCGAUUAUUAAUAAAUCUAAAAUAAGUUUAAUUGACUUAAAUUAUAAGUUUAUUUUAUCGAAAAACAGUAUAAAGUGAGUUAAAACGGCCGUUCCGACUUUGUCAUCAACUUUUGUCAUCACAUCAUUUAUGCUUAAAGAAGAGGAGAAAUUAAGGAUUUGAAAAUUUUAAGAUAAACUUAUAAACUAAGUCAAUGAGUUAGCACAAUAAUCAUUUUUAUGUGAUUCAAAUAUGAUUGAUUGUAUGACUUUGUUAAAAUAAUAUAUUAUGUUACCCCAAUUAUAUUACUAUAUCUUUAAUCAUAUUUUACAAAUUCAAUUAUAACUUCCGAAAUUUAAUUUUAUCAUAACCAAUAUUUUGGUUCAUAUAUUUUAGAGUUUGUUCAAAGUUUAGUUCAUGUAUUUUCAAACGCUCGAUUUUAGUUCUUGAACUUUUAAUAAAUCUUAAAUUUAGUCUUUACAAUUAAUUUAUUGUAUAUAUUGUGUUUAUUUUCAUGAAAAUCAUCACGAUUAUUCAAUCAAUUUCAAUAAAAAUUAGUAUCAAAAGAUCAAGUUUAAAAUUUACUUAACCGUAAGAACGAAAAAUUCAAAAUUUUAAACGUUAAGAAGUAUAGAAACUAAAAUAGAACAAAUUUAAAAGUUUGGUGACAAAACUAUUAAUUAAUUAAUAAGUUAUGUAGCCAUAUAUAAUCACAUUUGAUUUGGUUGUCAAACUAAUUAAAAAUAUUAAUUAAUUACCAUUCUAAUUCGAUCGUUAUUCAUGAUGGAUGGAUGGAUGGAUAUAUAUUAAUCUUCUAAAAAUAAUAAAAGAAAUUGUACAAUAAUAUAUAUGUAAAGAGAUUGGUAUCGUGGGUUUUUGAUUUGGAAUGAUCUCAUGAAUGUAUAUAUUUUAAUUUUAAGGGAAGAAAUUUUGUUUGUUAUAUUCAACGAUGGAAAUGGAUAUGUAAAGCAUUUUCCUCUACAAACCCUUAAAAAAUUCUCCAAUAGGAUGGGCUCGAAGUUAUCCAAAAAUGUCUCAAGGCCCAAAGUCUGUCUGGGUUUAACAUCCUGAAAAUUCUCGAGGCUCAAGUUCUAUUGGGCUUCACGUUCUAUCGAAGUUCCUCUAGGCCCAAAUUAUAUAAGGCUUCACGUGCAGACAUAGUUCCUUAACGAGGCCCAAAUUCUCAUGGACUUCAGAUUCUACUCAAGCUUUACCCAAGGCCCAAGGUCUUCAUCUUCGUUAAAAGUGAGGAAUGGACUUCACGUUCUAUAGAAGUUCCUCGAGGCCCAAAUCAUGUAGGGCUUCACGUGUUGACAUAGUUACUUAUCGAGGCCCAAAUUCUUAUGGACUUGAGGCUCUACUCAAGCUUUCCUCAAGGCCCAAGUUCUUCAUCUUCGUUAAAAGUGAGGAAUGAGCUUCACGUUCUAUCGAAGUUUCUCGAGGCCCAAACCAUGUAGGGCUUCACGUAUAGACAUAGUUCCGCAACGGGGCCCAAGUUCUAAUGGACUCCAGGUUCUACUCAAGCUUUCCCCAAGGCCCAAGCUCUUCAUCUUCGUUAAAAUUGAGGAAUCGGUAUGUAUUUAAGGGCUUUCUAAGACUAUUAAAUUAAUGUUAUUUACAUGAAUGUCUAACAUUCUUCAAUAAUUAAAAUCAAAUUAGGGCACAAUUGCUAUUUAGAUCCUAUACUACAAUUAAUUUAAGAAUGUUCUAAAUUAGGAAACUUGAAAAAGAUCUUAUUUUAAGUAUCUUCAUCAUUCUUGAAUUUUUUUGAAAAAAUUAAAAUGAUUUGUAAAUAAACCUAUUGUUUCUCUCUCACCUCCGUUUUUUUUUUAUAAAAAAAACUCAUAACGUCACUUAUUUUUAUAUAUAUAUAUAUAUAUAUUGAGUGCAUUUAAGGUAUAUGCUAUUGUCAAAAUUACAUUUGAUUUUUAAAAAAUUAUAUUAUAGUAUAAUUAAGACAUAUACUAUAGUCACUAUGUAGAUAAUUUAGGGUAUAUUGUAUUAUAUUGAGGGUUACGUUUUCAAGAUAAUUGUCUUUCGAUCUCAAUGAAUAUCAUUCAUCGUACAAUUCAAUCUUCAUGUAAAUAACAUAGACGAGGAUAAGCACAACAUCUUUUAUACAAAUAUCAACAUAUAGAUGAAAAUUUAAUACUACACAAACAACAUACCUUUUGAUGAAAAAUCUUCUCUUCUACUCACAGUUUGUAAGCGUUCAUUCUUAAUUUUAAGUUAAAUAAUAGCAACAAUCAUGCAAUCAUAAAUGUGUGUUUAAUGUUUAAUUAUAAAAUAAGAGAAGAAUUAGUUGACCUAGUUGACUAUGAGAAAGCAAUUAUUGUGAAGUUGUGAUGAUUAAAGAUUAUGACUUUUGAGAAAAAGAAAAAAGACAAUCAAAUAGAAAAAAAAAGGUGGAAAUUUGUUGCACCCCAAAAAGAAGAACUUUUUAAAAAAAAAAAAAGAAAAAGAAAAGUGAAUUAUUGAGGAAAAAAAGGACAAAAACGUGGGAGCAUUGAUUUAAUGUUAUGAAAAAAUAGGCAUACAAAUAGUUGGCUAAUUCAAAGGAAUAACUUUUGAUCAAUUACUUGGAAUAUGGUUCCAAGGUAUGCACAUGCCUUUCCAAGAAAGAUGAAUCAAAUAUAUGUUUUAGAAAGUAGAGUAAAUUGACCAUACCCAUAAACAUAAUUUGUGAUUGAGCGUUGGUAUCAACUUGAUACACACGUGCGUCUCUUAAAGUGAUAACUAAGUGUAUAGUAAGUCGAAGAUAGAUAUACAAGUAUUGAAAAUUAAAGAAAACAUGCAUCAGAUAUUUGAUACUUGUGUGCGUGAUAGUUACAUUCUAUAAUAUGAGUUGUUAUAAAAUGUGAUUAAAGUUGGUGGGUUGCAUAAAGAUGAAUUUAGCUUAAAAGACAUUUAAAUGGUUUUUUAAAUUAAUAUUUUUAUAUUUAACUUUUUACGUACGUGUUUUGGCAGUCUCAAAUGGCCACCAAAUAGAGUAUAAUAUUUACAACAACUAAAUAUCUCUCUCAAAUCCUUCACGCAUCAGAUCCCAUAACCUAGUUCUAAAUCUGGAGAAUAGCGGGUCAACACUAGUGGUGAUUCAGUCCGUGAUCGUGUGAAGACUACAAAGAUCAAGAGUUUCAAGGUUUGAAUUUCAAUAACCCUAAUUUCAUUUUAAUUAGGAUAAAAUUUGAUCCUUAUUUUAGCUACACACGUCCACCGUAUCCAUCAAAUAGCAAGUAGGAAGUGGAAUAACUUGAACACUAUUAACGUAUAUUUACAAGAAACGUGAUCAACAACCUGACACAUAAGGAAGUAUGACAUGUGAACUAUUAGAACACUGAAUAUGGACAACUAAAUUACACCUAACUUUACCAUAAACACAAACAUAAAAUUUAAAAGUAAAUACCCAAAAAUAGAGUGUGAUUUGAUAUGUUGUAUUGAUAUAUUGUGUAAUAAUGGUUGAAGAUAUGAAUCUUUAUAGAGUUUGAUAAUCUUCCUAUACCAUUUAAUGAGAGUGGCUAAAAAAAAAAAGGUGAAUGACCAUUUGCAAAAUCUUUACUAUUUAAAAAUUAUUACUUUUUUUUUAAAGAAAAUAAUGGGAAUACUAGUUUAAAUUCUCACUUUUAUCCUUUAUGGAUUGAAGUAGGUUUUCAACUUAAGUGCUAUCCUAUAGUUUUAUAAUAUAUUCUUUCUACUUUAUGAUUCUAUCUUAAAAACUUUCAUUAUCAUAUCUUUGUUUUAUUUUCUUUUUAUUACGUGUGGUAGAGAAUUGAACAUCAAAUCUUGUAAUUAGUAGUAUAAAUUCGACUCAUAUUUAACUGUACUUACAUGUUUAUAGAUAUUACCAUUUUUUUUAUUAGGGUGAUAUAUUAACUAAAUAAAAGUUAGUGUGAAUUAAAGGGAAGUAUUAGAAAGAAGUGAAUAAUGUUACUAAUAUAGAUUCAUUGUAGUGAUUCUGCCUCUUAACUAACUUACAACGUAGUUGGGGAUAUUACUUUUAGGUUACUUUUAUAAAAGUGAUCGAAAAUUAGUGAAAUUUAAUUAUAAUAAUUUAAAAUUAAUUAAUGACGUUAACUCUAAUAUUGGAAAAGUGAAUAUUUAGAAAAAUAUUUUAAAAUAAUAAACCUUGAAACUAAGAUUUUUCCCCCUAAAUAUCAAAUUCUUUUCUAAAUUUCAAUCAUUUUAUUUUCUUAAAUUUCUAUUAUUUUAUUGCUCAAAUUUUAAUAAUGUCAUACAAUAAAUUUUUUAAAAAGAGAAAAAAAAUACUAACUUAUUUCUAAUUGUUAUCUAACAAAAAUUUUUUUUUUAAAAAAAAUGCUGAUAUGAACUUUCUUCGGAAAAAAAUAUAUUAUUCUUUUCUGUUUGAGGUAAAUUUUAAAUUCACAUUUACAUUAAUUAUAUAUAUAAAUAAGUAAUAAGAAUUUGAUUUGAUUUAUUUUAUUUUAUAAUUUAAGACUAUGAGAUAAUUUUUUCAUUCAUAGUUAGAAUAUACUUAUCAUACCAAUUCAUCGAUAAGUUCAAAUUCUUCUUAGUUUUAAUGCUUCAAACUCUAUAUAACAAAUCAUAAUAUUUAUAGUGUUUAUUAUACCAUACGUUUAAUAUAAAAUUUCUAGUUACAUUUCAAAACUAUUUUGAAAUUUAGAUUUCUAUUUAAGAUUAAAAAAGAAAACUCAAAAAUGGCAAAGCUCAAUUAUUAAUCUUUUAAUUAGGGAGAGAAAAUGAGAAAAAGAUGGAAGAACUAAGAAAGGGAAUGAGAGUGGAAGACACCUUUGUUCGUUUUAGUAAUGAACUGGAGUGGAGGGGCCCAUGAGUUGAAUACGUACCAACCAUAGCCAUUGACUGUUAUUAAAUCAACGGUUGGGAUCUCCUCGUGACAUUAUCUUCAGUUAAUCAAACGGCAGACUAAGAAUUACGGACUGACUUUCCGUUGGUCGGUGCUCCGUUGUUGUGCGUCCCCUUCUAAGGUCAUUUUCGUCCUUCCAUCCAAUGCAAUAAAUGUGAGAGCAAAGCAUUGAAAAUCAUGUUCACAUUCAUUCAUUCUAAUUUCUCUCUUUUCUCUUAAACUAAAUCUAAUUUUAAGAGUAAACCAUACUCUUUUGAUAUAAAAGAUUUGAAUUAAUUUAUGAUAUUGGUUUAUUUUCGAAGUUUCAAAAGUGAAACAUUUCAAGUAUUUGAAUUAUUCUAAUAAGUUAUUGAUUUUUAAAUAGUCUAUAAAGAACUUAUAUCUUAUCUAUGAUAUUAUAUUAGAUAAGACAUAAAGUUUGUCUUGAAUGAUAAAAUAAAAUUUUAUUAGAGAAGAGGUUAUUAAACGUUAUAAAAAUGAUCCUAAUGAGUUAUAGUAUAGAUUCUCGAUAACUAAAAGAUAAAAGUCUUUUCUUCUUUUCGUAACGGAAUAUAUAUACACAUACUUGUGGAUUUAAUAUAGGUUACACAAUUUAAGUUCUCUCUAACUUUAUACUUUUUAUGUAAUAUAUAUAUAUACACUUUGAAAAUACCAAUUUUCUUAAUUACCUUUGUGAUAAAAUUGUCAUCCACGUCUCUCUAGAUCUAAGUUAAAAUCUCGUUCUUUACAUUUUUUUCUAAAUUACUUUACUGGUUUAUAAAACUCCGUCAACAAAGGUUUCAAAAUCGUCACUAUUGUGUGUGUAUAUACACACACAUUUGAAGAGUUCAAUCAAACUUUAAUCCACACUAUUUUAUAUGGGAUGGUUGAAAAAAAAAACUAGGAAUAGGAAUAUAUUGAAUUAAAGAGCUUUGAAAAAAUAAACUAGGAAUAGUGUAUGUAUAUAUAUAGAUAUAUAUUGAAUUAAAGAGGUUUGGAGUAUUAUUGAUAUAAUAUGUGGUUACUUGUUACACACAUAAUAAGACCGACAUAGAAAAAUAUAAAAGAUAUCCCACAUUGCAUGGAAAAUUAUUUACAAAAUGUCACAUUGUAUUAGUAAUGUAUUUAUUUAGCAUACUCAUUUUUCAAUUAUUAAAUACGAUUAUAUUUGUCAUUUUUUGACUUUUUCUUAACAAUCACUUUCGAGUUUAUAAAUGAAUGGACCAUUUUUAAGGGUUUUUUUCUUUUUUUUUUUACAAUUAUACAAAUCCAAUUAAUAUUUAUUUAUUAUUAAUAGUGCAAUACUAAAAAUUAGUAAUGUUUAUUGAUUUUACCUAUAAACUCAACUAAAUAUUCUCCCAAAACUAAAAAUACAAAGUUAUACAAAUAAUGCAUUUACCACACAAAUAAAGUAGGUAAAAAACACACUUCAUUUCAAACUCUAAUAUUCAUACUUAUUUUCUUAAAAGCAAAUAAUUGGUCCAUUCAAGGUGACACAUUUCUUCUUCCUCGAUCAAUAGCGUUAUUUUUUUUUUAAUGUGUGGCUCUUUAUUUUGCAUUUCUUUAAUAUAUUUAUGAGUUUUUCUUCGUAAAUAAUUACAAUAUAGGCUGCAUCCAAAUAUUACUUUCUCUUCUUAAAAAACCAAAAACAAUUAAAAUAACUAAUACUCACAAUGUAGUUUUAUUCACUUGGUAGAGAUAAAAUUUUAGGGGUAAAAAUCUCAAUUACCAAAUAAAAAAAUGAACCAAAAUCUUACCCUAUUUUGUUUUUUAGGUUAAUUUCUUUAAUGAUUUUCAUCUUUUUUUUUUCUUUUUCUGUUAGAAAGGAGGUUAAAUUUGUCGAGGAUUGUCCCAAGCACAAUCCAAAACUCAUGGACAAACGAAAGGCCAAGAAAAUAGAGAGACGAAAUUGGAGGAUGUGUACUCUCAAAAACUGAAAAGUCAAUCUAUCAAGUUUUAAGCCAACCAACGGAUCAAUCAAGCCCAAUGAAUUGUACUAAUUAAAAAGUAUCUAAAUCGAGCUCUAUACCCUCGAAGGUCGCAAUCCUCUAAACACAUUGCAAUUACACAAAACAACAUACAAGUGCUAGAGGAAGAGUUGAUACUAGAUCAUCCAACAACUCUCUCAAGGAUAAGAAGUAUACUUUGAAGAACUCAAGACCUCUUCAACUCUCUCAAGAAAGAGUAUUUUAUAUGUAUAUAUAAUGAGAAUAAUAAUAAUUAAUUUGUAUUUCUUAGACCUUAGUCAAAUAAAUGGACAAAAAAAAAAGUUAGAAAAUUUAGGCUUUGGAUUAAAAGAUCAUAAAUUUUAUGGACAUAAGAGAGCGAGAAAGGAAGUGGUGGUAAUUUAGAGGACGAUGGCGCAGUUCGGUUCGGACCAGAAAUGGUUCAUGGACGGUGGUCAAUUCGCUAGAUCGUUGAUUGCUAUUGUUGCGACUGUACGGACAUUUGUUUAUAUGUUGAUUUGUUAAUUAAUUAAUUGAUUAAUGAGAUUUGAAAGAAAAGUCAAGAUGGGACCUUCGAAGAAACCUACAAAAUCUAUUCCUUUUGAUUACUGAUCUGACCACAGAUACACCAACUCAAAACCCUAUUUGUUUUCUCAUUCCAAUGGAUUAUUAUUAUUAUUAUUUAUUCCACCAAAACCUAUUUAUUAUUAAUUUAAAGUUAUUGUAUUUUUAAAAUUAAUAUGUUUGUUUAAGCCAUCACAUUUGUACUUUGUCAAUUUUAAAAUUCUGUGUUAUUUUCACUCAUUAUAAUAUUUAUUACAUGAUUUAAUAUUAAUUGUACUUUUUUAAAAAAUAAAACAAUGGUUUUGGUUUUUAUAAUUUUAUCUACAAUCCAUUUUUGUUGCAAGGAUUCCUUGAUUCAUACUCCAUGACUCUAAAAUUCAAGUCCUCAUAUAAGAGAUUUCAACCUUUAAUUUCCCCUUUGAAAUUUUUUAAAAGAGAGAAUUUUCCACAUUGAUUUUUUGAACAUUUGAAUCAUCAUCAUCGUAUGAUAUCAUUCUUGAGGUAUGAUAGGAAAAUUCUGGACAUAGAAUUAAGAAUGCUCCAAUUAAUUUAAACAAAUAGCCUUUAAAUACUUUGGCUUUCAAAGAUUUCUCAUGAUUUAAUGGCAAAAUUUAAUGCAAAAAAGAACUAGGAAUUCAUUAAAAUAAAUUCUAAAGACAAUUGUCUAUUUUGACUAAGUUGAGAAAAAAAAAAACACUUUGUUCAAAUUUUAAACUCUUUUGAACAAUGUUAUUACGUGAAAGGAUGGAAUUUUCGAUCUUUUUUUAUUAAAGUUAUUCAAUUGGGGGAGUGCUCAGACAUAAAGAAUUAAGAUUGACACUCAAUGUGUACGCAUUGGAUGGUCAAAUAUUCAUCUUCAUUUUGGCCUCCUUGAAUUCUUCAUCCCAUUCAAACUCUAAAGUUUGGUAAACAUUUAAACUCAUUUGUACUUUGCUUUUUUUUAAAAAUACUAUGAGAUUUUAAUAAACAAUUUUGUUAUAACCAAACCCAUGUUUCAGUGAUCUGACAAAGUAAAAGCUUAAAAACUCAAACAAUUUUUAGAGCAAAAUUGAUGAUUCAAAGGAUAACCAUUUUAAAAGGCUAAAAUAAAAUGUCAAUUACUAUAUUAAAUAUUAGAAAAAUAAUUUUUUGAUCCCUAGAUUUUAUUUUUAAUUAUAGUUUUCUUAGUCCUACAUUCCAAGAUGUUACAUUUUAAAUUUUAAGGGUCAAAUAGAAUUUAGACUCAAAAUCUACAAUAAAAAAGUUUUUUUCCCUACCAAAGUAUUUUUGGGUCAAGAGAAAAUAUAAAUCGGUUUGUAAGAUGACCGACUGUGCCUUCAAAUUCGACACCUAAUUAGGCUGCCAAACUGGCGGCAUAUUAUAUGGAAAAAAAAAAAGAAGAGUAAAUUAUGAUAUUUAAAAAUUGAAUAGCCUUUUAUCUCUUUCUAACUUUUUGCCAAAUAUUUAAUUAAGAAAUGUUUGACUUAGUAUUUCAAAGUGUUUAUUCUAAGAUUGAAUUUAGGUAUAUAAUCAAAUAUUUAAGAUGGUUUUUCUGGUUUGACAAACCAUAUAAACUCAAACAUUUGUAAAUAUUUUAAAUAGAUUUUAGUAUAUUUUAUUUAAUCAACUCUUAGCCACUUUGGGGUUGUAAAAUUAGGAUAGAAUCAAAUUGUUGUAAUAAUAUUAAGUCUUUUCAGAUUAAUUAGAGAAUAAAAUAUUUUUCAAGAGUUUGAUUUCUUUAUUUUGCAUUCUUAUAUUAUUUCUAAUUUUAUUUUCUUUAUAUAUACGUGAAAGUUUGGGUAGAAGUACACAACUUCAACUAACUUACAAAGACAGCUAUUUGACUCCAGUAUACUGCACUAAUCACCUUCUAAGCAACCACUGUAAUCUUAACAUUAUAUUUUGGUUCAGAAAACAUUUUAUUCCUUUUAUUUUGUAAUAUGGUCUGUGUCACUGCUAAGACGAUGAAGGAGUCAAGUAGACUAUUUUAACAUACUCUAAGUUUGCCUGAGGGUUAUCAUAAUCGUAAGAUUAGUAUUAGUGUUAUUUUACUUUUUCUUUAUUUAUCAUUUGUCACUAUUCCUCACUCCUCUUUCACUAUUCUUCACCGAUGUCACUAUUUCUUGCUCAUUUCUUUCACUAUUUCUUACUCAUUUCUUUCACUAUUUCUAACUUUUCUAAAUAUAAACUCUAAUAGUCCGCACCUCAAAUACAACCUAUAAUAAUUCACAAAUUAUAAUAAUUCACUCUACGUCCCAAAUGUUAUCUAAAAGAUCAUGGAUUCAAUAUAUGUUGAUACCAAAAUGACCAAAUGUUUUUUAAAAGAAACACCUUCUGGUGUGAUAGAGAAUGGAAGGAAGGGACAGAGACUUCUAGUUUAAUUUAAUCCAGCAAAGAAUCAAGAAUAUUGAUAGUAAUAAAUUUAAUAUAUAAAUUUAAAACGGGAGUGACGUAGGAUAUGGUUUUGGGAAGCAAUAAAGAAAUUGGAGUUAAAAAAAAAAGGCAGGAAGGAGAAAGUGGGGAUUAUGAGAAAAGGGUAGGGAGAUUUUUGAGAUGGUGAGAGAAAAAGUUAGAGAAACCUAGCCCAGGUUCUAUCCGGUUUCCUAAGGGUCUGCUUCUCUUUACUCGGAAAAUCUGAAACUCGUUUUGACUGGGACAAGCAGCAGCCCCACUCGUUUGAAAUCUCCAAAUGAAACAUGUUUUCUUUUCAACAUUUUAAAAACAAGACCACACUAUGCAAUUUUAAAAACUACUUCUAAAUCAACUUACUUUUAUAAGUUCUUUAAUUAUUUUAUUUAAGAUUCCAAAUUCUUAAAUAAUCCCACUAUUCUCCCUCUUCUCUCUUCUCUCUUCUCUCUUCUCUCUUCUUUCUUCUUUCUUCUUUCUUCUUUCUUCUUUCUACUUUCUAUAAGUAGGUGUAUUUUAUCAAUCUCCAUUGACUAUAAAUAUAUAUAUAUAUAUUUGAUAAAAAUGGUUUAAGAUAAACUUUACGAGUGUUUCAAUGUUUCAAAAGUUCAAUUUUAUUUUUUCAAAUAAUUUACUCUUAAAUUUGAACAUUUAAAAAGUUAAAUCCAACCGCUUAAAAAGACGAUGUUUGAAUUGAUAAAACACUAUUACUUAGAAUAAAAGAAUAUAAGCAUUGAAAUAGUAUUGUGUAAGGAUAUCUAGUUCAAUCAAUUUUUUUAUUAAAACGUGGUGAUAAUUUCUUUAUUAAUUUAUGAUAGUGAAACUAUAUAGUGACAUAUUUUAAAUUUAUGCUAGUGCCCAAAUAAUCUAGACUAAUAAAAUAUUUCCUUUAAAAGCUUUUAAAGUUUUGUUGAGUGUGUUUGAAAAUGUGUUAACUACUUGUUUGUUUCUGUUAAAAGCAUCAUUUAUAACUUUAACCAAAUACCAUCAAUUAAAAAACAUUUUUAAUCCUCGGUAAUGGUAUUUUUAAAAAAUAAUAAUAAUAAUAAAGAUUAAUCCAGACCUAAUUAUCAAAUACUCUCCUACAAAUAGAAUUAAUCCCCUCAAAUAAUUUAAUGAUGUUCUUGCAAUAAAUCUCAGUGAAUAAAGUACAAAACUAGUAUAGUUAACCUACUUAAUCGGAUUUAAACAAAUCUCUCCACAAAAAUCUUAUUCUAUAGUUCAGUUUUGAUAAAAUAUAAAAAAAGGUUCAUUUUCUUGAUGACUUCGAGAAGAGUCUAUAUUUUUUCUAUUUAUUUUAAAUUAUAAUGUUUUGAAAGUGUUUUCGUUAUAGAAUUGUAGAGAUUAAUUUUACAUGAUACAAUUUUUCUAGUUCACGGUUUCUUUUUCUGAUUUGAAGUUUUUUACCUCAAUUUUAUAGAUUUCUUUGUUAUCUUUCAUUUUACAUUUAUAAUAACAAUGAAAGGUUAUUAUUUCUAUCCCACGUCUAAAAGAAGACAACAUGUUAAUUACAAUUGAAUCUUAUUUUAGCGUUCACUGUUGAAGUUAUUUGUAAGAAAAAAAAAUAAAGCAAAAUAAAAGUUUUCGUAAAACGUGUGGACGGUGAGAUCUAUGGAAGAAAAAGCUGCUCUCUCUCUCUCUCUCUCUCUCUCUCUCUCUGCCUUUUGGCGUUUCCCUCUCUAAACUGUAUAAAAGGAGAACCCAGUGGCAAGACCAAUCAAUAAGAACUUGGUGGUUUCCGAACCAAUCUAUUUUCCCUUAACACUUUCUCUUCCAACCUCCAUUUUUUCCCAUCUCUACAAAAGAAAUCAACUUCCCAGUUCCCAAGGAAUAAGAGAAAGAAAACUGGAUGGCACUAGCAAAUGAAAUUAUUGGAUCAUCUUUUCUUCACAAAACAUCCUGUGUUGCUUCUCAGUUUCAAGGUAAGCAAUUAUUCAGGCCAAUUUGGGUGGUUCCAGUAGAGAAAAGGCAGGUGGUUGCACAACUAAGGAAGGCUGUGAACAGCCCUGUGGCUGCUAUCAGUGAGGAUUUAAUCCAGGCUGUCCCCUUGGCCGAGAAGCCGGUUAAAUACAAGGUCAGAGCCGUUGUAACUAUCAGAAACAAGAACAAGGAAGACAUUAAAGAAACUAUUGUUAAGCAUUUGGAUGCUCUCACUGAUAGGAUUGGCCAGAACGUUGUUCUCCAACUUAUCAGCACCGAGAUUGACCCAAGUGAGUCAUUUUUCCUUUUUUUUUUUGUUUAUUUGUGUUCUUUUUUCCAAUUUAUGGACGUCCUAUGAGUUUUCCACUUCUGGGUUUGCUUUGUUUUCAUGUUUUCGUUGUAGUUUUUUUGAGAAAACCUUUUGUCUUCUUCCUGACUAUAAUAGUUUUAUCUGAUUUUGUCUGAAUCUAAAAGAGUUUUACUGAAUUGAUUUUCAUUUGGAACAUUGAAGAAACAAACGCUCCAAAGAAAAGCAACGAGGCUGUUUUGAAAGAUUGGUCAAAGAAAACUAAUCUAAAAGCCGAGAGAGUAAAUUACAUAGCAGAUUUUUUACUGACCUCGGACUUUGGAGAGCCUGGAGCCAUCACAAUUACCAACAAGCAUCAACAGGAAUUCUUCUUGGAGACUAUCACAAUCGAGCAAUUUGCAAAUGAUCCUAUUCAUUUCCCCUGCAAUUCCUGGGUUCAGUCCAGAAAAGAUCACCCUGCGAAGAGGAUAUUUUUCUCUAAUAAGGUAAAUUUUAAAAAAGUAAAAAUAAAAUAUCAACGUUUUUUCUUAGUUCAGCUUUUGUAAUUUGUUUUCAACUAAAUAAUAAAGACCUUUAUGAGAUAAUGCGAGUUAAAGCUGAUGUGAUGUAUUGUUUCAUAUAUCUGUUUUUAAAUGUCUCCACGUCCUCUUGUCAUUUUAAUGAAUGACAAAUAUAAGUCCCAUAUCAUAGACUAUAGGGGAGGUGAAAAGAAAGGGAGGAGAAUUUGCAAGCCUUUGUUUUCCGUUCGAAACUAUUCUUUAUUUAAUUGUUUCAUUCCUUUCUACAGUUCUGAAUCUGCUAAACUAUUUGAUAAGAUUGCCUGUGGACCCAGAAUUCGAUCUAACAAAACUAUAAUCAAAUCAUCAAGUUUGCUACUUUUGCGAUUAUGAGCAUGCCAAUCAUAAAUGAAGAAGAAUAAUUUCAAACCGAAAAGAGCUAAAAAUUGUAAUCGAACCUUCCUGCAAAAUCGCAUGUUCUCUUUCAAUCUUGCUGUAAAUUUUUGAAUGGCUAUCUAAUGUGUGUUCCACAAUUCUGCAGCCUUAUCUUCCAGGUGAAACACCUGCAGGGAUUAAAAAAUUAAGAGAGAUUGAGCUUAAAGACAUUAGAGGUGAUGGGAAAGGAGAAAGAAAACUGUCUGAUCGAGUAUAUGACUUUGAUGUGUACAAUGAUUUGGGAAAUCCAGACAAAGGAAUAGAAUACGCUCGCCCAAGGCUUGGUGGUGAGAAAAUUCCAUAUCCUAGAAGAUGUCGCACCGGACGUGCCCCUUCCGAGACUGGUAAAAUUUGACACCAGCCUUUGAAUUAUAACAAUGAUUACCAAAAGCUAUAUAAAAUCCUUAUCUUAUAACGGUAUGUAUACUACAGAUAUGACUGCAGAGAGUCGAGUUGAGAAACCGUUACCCAUGUACGUGCCAAGGGACGAACAGUUUGAGGAGUCUAAAAAAACUUCUUUCUCUCUUGGGAGGCUUAAGGCAGUUCUUCACAACUUAAUUCCAUCCCUCAAAGCCAGCAUUUUGUCAAACAAACAUGAUUUCCAUGGUUUCUCAGAUAUUGACAGCCUUUACAGUGAAGGGGUUCUCCUUAAAUUAGGCUUGCAAGAUGAACUCCUAAAGAAGCUCCCACUGCCAAGAGUUGUGAGUGAAUCCAGCCAAGGACUGUUAAGAUACAACACACCCAAGAUCCUUUCCAGUAAGUGACAUCAUCAUCCUUUAAAAGUGUUAUUCAUACAAGCAUGCAAUUGACUAACAUACCAUCAGUUUGCAAAAUUACUUCUCAUAAAGAUUCAAAUCAACUGUUUUACAGAAUUAAAACAAUCCAAAUUAAUGAAAUAGAAAAGUCUUUUCAACUUUGGUAACCCCAGAAGCUACCUUCCUAGAUAGGCAUUGCCAUACCACAUCAAUUUUUGCUUGAAUGCAAAAUUGACAAACCCAAAUCAUUCUUAACUAACUUUCAUCGAAAUUAAUUUUGUGAGUCAUGUUGAACUUGCAGAGGACAAGUUUGCCUGGCUGCGAGAUGACGAAUUCGCCCGCCAAGCAAUAGCAGGAGUUAACCCAGUCAACAUUGAGAGACUCAAGGUUUUCCCUCCUGUGAGCAACCUUGAUCCCGACGUUUAUGGUCCACUGGAAUCUUCCCUUAAAGAAGAGCACAUUCUUGGCCAAAUUAAUGGGAUGACCGUGCAGCAGGUGAAUUAUCACGUCAAGAUGUUAACCUAUCACUCAGAUAUUUUCUCACUAAAACAAGAAUUGACAACCACAUUUUCAAAUCCUAAUAUCAUCUCCCUUCAAAUUGCUUUGAUUGUUACAGGCAUUGGAUGAAAACAAAUUGUUUAUAGUGGACUACCAUGAUGUUUACCUUCCAUUUAUUGAUCGGAUCAACUCUCUCGACGGCCGGAAAACAUAUGCAACUCGCACAAUAUUCUUCUUGACACCACUUGGAACUCUCAAACCUAUCGCCAUAGAGCUCAGCCUUCCAUCAACCGCACCAAGUUCUCGAUCAAAGCGCGUCGUAACUCCACCAGUCGACGCCACAAGCAACUGGACAUGGCAGCUCGCCAAGGCUCACGUCUGCUCCAACGACGCCGGAGUUCAUCAACUUGUUAAUCACUGGUAAUUGAGCAAACUUUAUAACUCCAAAAGACGAAAUGGAUUAAGCUUUCUGAUUACUAAAAAUGGCUUACUAUUGAUGACAGGUUGAGAACGCAUGCAACCUUAGAGCCAUUCAUAUUGGCAGCACACAGGCACCUAAGCGCAAUGCACCCAAUCUUCAAGCUCUUAGACCCACACAUGCGAUACACAAUGGAGAUCAACGCAUUAGCGCGCCAAAGCCUGAUCAGUGGCGACGGAGUGAUCGAGUCUUGCUUCACUCCAGGCCGUUACUGCAUGGAGAUCAGUGCCGCAGCUUACAAAAAUUUUUGGCGCUUCGACAUGGAAGGCCUUCCCGCCGAUCUCAUACGCAGGGGAAUGGCUGAACCGGACCCUUCAAAGCCUCAUGGACUCAAGCUUUUGAUGGAGGAUUAUCCAUACGCUAGCGAUGGGCUUCUUAUUUGGGCCGCAAUCGAGAAUUGGGUAAAAACCUAUGUAACUCAUUACUAUCCAAACCCUAACAUGAUCCGCGAAGAUGAAGAGUUGCAAUCCUGGUACUGGGAGUCCAUCCAUGUAGGCCACGGCGAUCUCCGCCAUGAAACCUGGUGGCCAGAAUUGAACAACUGCGACGAUCUCAUCUCCAUUCUCACCACGCUCAUCUGGCUCUCAUCAGCACAACACGCAGCACUAAACUUCGGCCAGUAUCCAUACGGAGGCUACGUACCAAACCGACCUCCAUUAAUGCGUCGACUAAUUCCCGACGAGAACGAUCCAGAGUACACGAUCUUCCUGAACGAUCCUCAGAAGUAUUUCCUCUCAGCGUUGCCUAGUGUCCUGCAGGCGACGAAGUUCAUGGCGGUAGUAGAUACACUAUCAACUCACUCGCCGGACGAGGAGUACCUCGGAGAAAGACAGCAGCCAUCGAUUUGGACGGGGGAUGCGGAGAUGGUGGAGGCAUUUUACGGAUUCUCGGCGGAGAUCGGAAGGAUCGAGAAGGAAAUCGAUAGAAGAAAUGCAGAUGGACGGCUGAAGAACCGGUGCGGCGCCGGAGUUUUGCCGUAUGAACUGCUAGCGCCGAGCUCGGAACCGGGAGUUACCUGCCGGGGAGUACCAAAUAGUGUGUCGAUUUGAGGGGAAUUCCAUUUCCCGCCAUUGUUGAGUUGAGUUUAAGAGGUCAGUGUUUCAAAAGAAACGUGACGCGAGGGAGGAAUAUUUAUAUGAAUUUAUUUAAAUAUUUUAGAGAGGGAAAAGAAAAUAGUAAAAAUUUAGGGAUAUUUUUGUAAAUGCUGUAAAGCCUCGUAGCUUUAAUGAUUAAUUAGAUGAAAUUAAUUAAGCAAUAAAGUUUGUUCAAUUGGUCUAUAGGAUGUGUAGAAUAUGCAUUGAAGCUUAAUGUAGAACCAUUUUUAAUUUAUAAUAUGAUGGUAAAUUGUAAUGGAAGAUUCUUAUAACCUAACGUAUAUCCAAACUUCUUAUAUAG